RNAcentral lists this ribosomal RNA (253 nucleotides) under uncultured bacterium. RNAcentral's name for it is "partial 16S ribosomal RNA". It matches the Rfam family "Bacterial small subunit ribosomal RNA", at positions 524 to 776 of the family's 1533-position model. The record is from RNAcentral.
GACGAACCGUGCGAACGUUGUUCGGAAUCACUGGGCUUAAAGGGCGCGUAGGCGGCUUGUCAAGUCAGGGGUGAAAUCCGGCAGCUUAACUGUCGAAGUGCCUCUGAUACUGACGAGCUCGAGGGAGGUAGGGGUCUGUGGAACUUCUGGUGGAGCGGUGAAAUGCGUUGAUAUCAGAAGGAACGCCGGUGGCGAAAGCGACGGACUGGACCUUUUCUGACGCUGAGGCGCGAAAGCUAGGGGAGCAAACAGG